RNAcentral lists this transfer RNA (87 nucleotides) under Archangium sp. Its description in RNAcentral is "tRNA-Leu". It matches the Rfam family "tRNA". From Rfam's summary of the family: Transfer RNA (tRNA) molecules are approximately 80 nucleotides in length. The record is from RNAcentral. Lineage: Bacteria; Pseudomonadati; Myxococcota; Myxococcia; Myxococcales; Archangiaceae.
GCCUCGGUGGUGGAUCCUGGUAGACACACCGGUCUCAGAAGCCGGCGCUCACUUUCGAGCAGGCGAGUUCGACUCUCGCCCGGGGCA